RNAcentral lists this unclassified non-coding RNA (269 nucleotides) under plant metagenome. Its description in RNAcentral is "partial contains small subunit ribosomal RNA, internal transcribed spacer 1, and 5.8S ribosomal RNA". The record is from RNAcentral.
UUUCCGUAGGUGAACCUGCGGAAGGAUCAUUAAUGAGUUGUCAUGGGGUUCGAUGCUGGCAGCCAAUUUUUGGAUGCAUGUGCUUGCCCUAACAAUCAUCUUCCAAACACCUGUGCACAUUUUUGAGGGAGUCUUGAGUUGGUUGCCGCUCUUGGGUGAUUUUCUCACAUUCCCUUAAAUCAUUAUACGCUAUUGACAAUGUUGAACGUGCUCUGUGCCGCAAGGCUAUUAAUAUAAUACAACUUUUAACAACGGAUCUCUUGGCUCUC